Molecule: transfer RNA, 72 nt
Filed under: Stegodyphus mimosarum
Lineage: Eukaryota; Metazoa; Arthropoda; Arachnida; Araneae; Eresidae
Rfam family: tRNA
About the family: Transfer RNA (tRNA) molecules are approximately 80 nucleotides in length.
Source: Rfam by way of RNAcentral
GCCUUCAUGGUGUAACGGUAGCAUACUAGGCACAUAUUCCAGAGGACCAGGGUUCGAGUCCCCGGGAGGGCA